Molecule: ribosomal RNA, 253 nt
Filed under: uncultured bacterium
Lineage: Bacteria
Description: partial 16S ribosomal RNA
Rfam family: Bacterial small subunit ribosomal RNA
Source: RNAcentral
UACGUAGGGGGCAAGCGUUAUCCGGAUUUACUGGGUGUAAAGGGAGCGUAGACGGCAUGGCAAGCCAGAUGUGAAAUACCGGGGCUCAACCCCGGGACUGCAUUUGGAACUGUUAAGCUGGAGUGUCAGAGGGGCAGGCGGAAUUCCUAGUGUAGCGGUGAAAUGCGUAGAUAUUAGGAGGAACACCAGUGGCGAAGGCGGCCUGCUGGACGAUAACUGACGUUGAGGCUCGAAAGCGUGGGGAGCAAACAGG